CUUUAUAGUCUAUUUAAAAGAAUACCGUGCAACAAUAAAGGUGCAAAGUUAAAAAACAAUGCAGCAACUUUAUGUGCAAACAAAGUAUUCAAUAUAUACUCAUUAAAGUGAAACGCAAUUAAGCAGACAGAUCACUCCACGAACUAAGAACGGCCAUGCACCACCUAUCACGCAAUCAUGAAAGGACUAGCAUAUUUGAUAUAAGAAUUGCUAUAUAUAAUUAAAAAUAAUUAUAUAUAGUCUUAUAAAAACCUGUCAAUCCUCAGCGUGUUCGGACCUGGUAAGAUUUCCCGCGUUGGGUCAAAUUAAGCCACAUGCUCCACGCGUUCUUGUGGUGCCCUUCCGUCAAUUCCUUCAAGUUUCACACGUGCGU
This 373-nucleotide ribosomal RNA is filed under the name Foraminifera environmental sample. RNAcentral's name for it is "partial small subunit ribosomal RNA". The record is from RNAcentral. Lineage: Eukaryota; Foraminifera.